Molecule: long non-coding RNA, 1590 nt
Organism: Vombatus ursinus (common wombat)
Lineage: Eukaryota; Metazoa; Chordata; Mammalia; Diprotodontia; Vombatidae
Source: Ensembl
GUUUUGUAUUGAGAAAAUAGGACCAGUUUAGGGAUUAGGAAGAUUUAGUUACAGUACCAAAUGGCCACUAAUUUGAUAAGUGACCUUAGGAAAAUCAUUUGGUCUUCCUGGGGUUGUUUAUUAAUCUGUAGAAUGAGAGGUGUGGAAAGUCCUUUCCAGUUCUGUUUUCUAAUUGAUAACAUAGAAUUUUUCUUACAGUGAGGUGUACACAGAUUACAAAUGAUCAGUGUUGCUUUCAAAAUAUGAAUUGGUCUUUUAACUAGGCAAAGCUGAGAUUUUGGAAAGGAGGGCCGCCCGAUGAUGAGAUACAUAGAGAAAGAUGAUUUUCGCAAGACAAAUAGAGCCAUAAAUAAAUGAUUUAAUGUUGUAAGUCAAUGAACAAAGCAGAAAAGUGGAAUUGAAGUUAGGUAGAUGCAAGGCACAGGGCAUUUAAGGGUUUCUGCAGAUCAAAUGCUGCAUGGAACAUCUUGGCGUGAAGAAAAGGGAGGGCGAGGCAGGAGAUCAGCCACUGAUUCUAUUAUAAGGCUGCUUCUCUUGGUGAAGGGAACCAGGUGAUCAGCAGCAGCCCCCAGAGCUGCCACAGCAGCCCCCAGACUGUUGGCCGUGCCCACUGCCACUGUCACAGCAGUCAGACCUCUGGUGCCUGCGUCUGUGGGAUCUCCUGUGAUGGGAAAAGAGGCAGCAGCCACCCCCGGAGCCAGAGCUGCAGCACCCCCCAGAGCUGGACCCACAGCAUCCCCCAGAGCUGCAGCAUCCUCCAGAGCUAGAGCCACAGCAGGAAGAGACUGGAGGAGGGCAGGGAGCCUGGGGAGGGCACUUGGGGGGACACUUUGGUGGGCAUUUGGGUGGGCAUUUAGGGGUCUGACACUUGGGAGGACACUUAGGGGGGCAUUUAGGGGCUUGGCACUGCUGCUGGCUUUGCUGGCAGGACAUCUUGGUGGGAGUUCAGUAAACCUGAAAGACACAUAAAAUUCUUUUCAGAUGGAUGAAAUAGAGUCUUAAAAGCUUUCUUUAUCUGGAAUUGUUCCACAAUGUGAUCAUGAAUUUUACCUAAAAGACAUCAUUAUCCAGAAAGAAAAGGCUUAACAAAAUCGUUCCUGUAUUAAAAUGCAUUUGAGUUAGAAUUUGUGUUGAAGGAACAUUCGUUUUACAUUAACUUAGGAGAUUAUCACCAGUUUCUCUCUGUCUCUGUCUCUGUCUCUCUCUGUCUCUCUCUGUCUCUGUCUCUCUCUCUCUCUGUCUCUCUCUCUCCUCCCCCACUCUCUCUUUCCCCCUCUCUUUGUAUUUAUGCGUGCAUGUAUACUUAUGUACCUGUUGGGAAUUACCAAACUAGAAAAAUUUUGUAGAGUCUUAAAGGUUUAAUAAUAUUAUUUCUGUCCUAUGAAAGAGAGGGAAUGACUUCCCUCUACAUCCUGAAGACGCCUUUUGAAUUCCAGUUCAUCUAAGUUUCCAGAGACUUAGAUCAUUGCUCCCCCUCCCUACCACCUUCACACAGACACCAGGCCCUUUUCUGGUUUUUUCUAGAGACAUCCCACUGGAGUCUAUAUCUGUCUAGAAUAAACCCAAAGUACAAGCAUCUACUUUUCGUCA